CUGGUUAGUGUUUAAAAAAUUUUUAUAGGAAACUCUUUACAGGUGGAGAAACUAAGGCAUGGAAACUUAACCCUUUCAAGUUCAAGGCUGAAUUUAAUAUUCUAGGUAGAAAUAGAAUUUAGGGCUCUGUGCUCAGGCAAAUGGGUGAUAUCUUUCCAAAGAGAAAAAUAUAUUUAUUUUGGUAUGUGAUAUUAAUAAGUUGUUUUUGAAAUAUACAAUAUGAAUUUUUUGAAAAUCUUUGGCAUUUUUAGUUCUAUAGAGGCUCAGGUUUGUAGGUAUUUUCUCGCCAAAAUAUAAAAUGGGAAGGGGAGCUAGCUUUUAAAUUAAAAUAGGAUUAAUCCAAAAUGACCUGGGUUCAUUCUACACUAUUACAUAUCCAGCCCUAUGGAGGCCUGUGAGGCACAGCGGAGGCCACCGCCCUCCUCGCAGCUUACACUUAGCUGCUGCUGUGAAGCGGAUAUAAGUGGAACCUACUCCACACUCACAGAAAGUGCAAAAUUCAACAGGAUGCCUCUGUCUAACUUUUCACAAGCUCAGUUGUUUGAACAUGUCACACUUGUUACAGUGAGACCACAGGUACUGCUGUGGUCUGAAGUGGCCCAAACCCACGUGCUCCAUCCAUCCAACAUGAAAACCUCUCCCCACUGAGGAGUGAACUGUGACGUCAGAGCUCACAGGGACGUCUUUCCCCAGGCGUAUGUUUUUAAUCACAAAACUUUCACUCUCUGAAGUUGCCUUUGUGAGAGCUCAGUGGCACUGGCUUAUAAUCUGUAUCAGGAAACCGUCGCGGUGGCUUCAACACUACAUCAGGCAACUUUUCACCUCUGCCGAAGCCAACAGCCUCAAUAUUAAAGCACGUCUUCUUCCUUUAUUCCCAGCCAUCAAAACUAGUUAUACCAGAAGAGGGGGCAAACUCUGCUCACUAAGUCUCGAACCUUGGACAAAAGCUGUGCAAACCAAGUACCGGCCGGGCAACCAGGGGUGCGAGCGGCAGGUUCAGGAACUCGGGUAGCACCUGGGAGGUACGCGCACCUCCCCGCACCCGGCCGGGAGCUCUGAGCACGGCCGGCCCCGCCUCCUCAGCUAGGCCCCGCCCCCUGGGCCAGAAAGCUCCUUAGCCCUUGGCAGGCGCCCUACUUAUGGCCCCAGGCGCCGUACUUAUCCUCGGAAGCGCCGGGUCGGACUUUUUCUGCGUCAGCUAGGAGUGUGCGACGUGCCCAGCCAGUUGGGCCCGGCGCUUCCCACCCAGCUCCCGGGUCUCUAUGGCCGGACCCCAGGUGGGGAAAGGGCCUCCUCCGGUGUAUCCAGUCCGCAGCAGUCGCAGCCGCGAUAAAGGGCGCCGGCGCUGUGUCAGACAUGGCUAAAUAUUCACACGAUGAAUUAUUACUCAGUAGUGAAAGUUGAACUACGAGUGGGUAUAGAAAAUGUAAUGCUGAGUGAGCGGAAGCA
Molecule: long non-coding RNA, 1449 nt
Filed under: Fukomys damarensis (Damara mole-rat)
Lineage: Eukaryota; Metazoa; Chordata; Mammalia; Rodentia; Bathyergidae
Description: lncRNA (ENSFDAG00000025756.1)
Source: RNAcentral